This 253-nucleotide ribosomal RNA is filed under the name uncultured bacterium. RNAcentral describes it as "partial 16S ribosomal RNA". It matches the Rfam family "Bacterial small subunit ribosomal RNA", at positions 524 to 776 of the family's 1533-position model. The record is from RNAcentral.
UACGUAGGGUGCAAGCGUUAAUCGGAAUUACUGGGCGUAAAGCGUGCGCAGGCGGUGAUGUAAGUCAGAUGUGAAAUCCCCGGGCUUAACCUGGGAACUGCGUUUGUGACUGCAAGACUCGAGUACGGCAGAGGGGGGUGGAAUUCCACGUGUAGCAGUGAAAUGCGUAGAGAUGUGGAGGAACACCGAUGGCGAAGGCAGCCCCCUGGGUCGAUACUGACGCUCAUGCACGAAAGCGUGGGGAGCAAACAGG